RNAcentral lists this long non-coding RNA (301 nucleotides) under Brachypodium distachyon (stiff brome). RNAcentral describes it as "long non-coding RNA (BDIS_LNC000251)". The record is from RNAcentral. Lineage: Eukaryota; Viridiplantae; Streptophyta; Magnoliopsida; Poales; Poaceae.
GACAGUGGCCCGUCGGCCCUGUGCGCCGUGGCCAAGUCAGAUGGUCCUGUUGAAGAGACAACUCGUAGGGGCUUGAUACAAAAACCAUCUGUCGGUAAUCACACUUCAAAAUCUUGCUUCGAUGGAUCUAGCGCAAGCGAUUUUGCACGACACCUACGGACGUCUUAUCCAGAACUGGUUAGUGCAGGCCAUGUUUUGACUCCGCAGUUCUAGAAAUUAUUGAUGUCCUGACUGACGGGUAGUAAAAAUCCAAGCAGGCACUUUCGACCAUCCCCGUCAUCCUGAAAGAGCACAAUGCUCC